This is a non-coding RNA of Microsporum canis CBS 113480, 47 nucleotides long. The record is from Rfam. NCBI's taxonomy places the organism in Eukaryota, Fungi, Ascomycota, Eurotiomycetes, Onygenales, Arthrodermataceae.
ACAAAAGCUUUUUUCGAAGCUACUACAUAGUAUGCAUGGGGCUAAGU